CAGUAGCCGCGGUAAUACAGAGGGUGCGAGCGUUAAUCGGAUUUACUGGGCGUAAAGCGUGCGUAGGCGGCUUCUUAAGUCGGAUGUGAAAUCCCUGAGCUUAACUUAGGAAUUGCAUUCGAUACUGGGAAGCUAGAGUAUGGGAGAGGAUGGUAGAAUUCCAGGUGUAGCGGUGAAAUGCGUAGAGAUCUGGAGGAAUACCGAUGGCGAAGGCAGCCAUCUGGCCUAAUACUGACGCUGAGGUACGAAAGCAUGGGGAGCAAACAGGAUUAGAUACCCGCGUAGUUCCUGUCUCUUAUAA
Molecule: ribosomal RNA, 301 nt
Filed under: uncultured bacterium
Lineage: Bacteria
Description: partial 16S ribosomal RNA
Rfam family: Bacterial small subunit ribosomal RNA
Source: RNAcentral